Molecule: ribosomal RNA, 540 nt
Filed under: uncultured bacterium
Lineage: Bacteria
Description: bacterial SSU rRNA
Rfam family: Bacterial small subunit ribosomal RNA
Source: RNAcentral
AAUAGAUACCCUGGUAGUCCACGCCGUAAACGAUGGAUACUAGCUGUUUGACCGCAAGGUUGAGUGGCUAAGCGAAAGUGAUAAGUAUCCCACCUGGGGAGUACGAACGCAAGUUUGAAACUCAAAGGAAUUGACGGGGGGCCCGCACAAGCGGUGGAGCAUGUGGUUUAAUUCGAUGAUACGCGAGGAACCUUACCAGGGCUUAAAUGUAGUUUGACGUAUUUGGAAACAGAUAUUUCUUCGGACAAAUUACAAGGUGCUGCAUGGUUGUCGUCAGCUCGUGCCGUGAGGUGUCAGGUUAAGUCCUAUAACGAGCGCAACCCCUGUUGUUAGUUGCCAGCGAGUAAUGUCGGGAACUCUAACAAGACUGCCAGUGUAAACUGCGAGGAAGGUGGGGAUGACGUCAAAUCAUCACGGCCCUUACGUCCUGGGCCACACACGUGCUACAAUGGACGGUACAGAGAGCAGCCACUUAGCAAUAAGGAGCGAAUCUAUAAAAACCGUUCUCAGUUCGGAUCGGAGUCUGCAACUCGACUCCGU